RNAcentral lists this non-coding RNA (96 nucleotides) under Microcebus murinus (gray mouse lemur). The record is from RNAcentral. Lineage: Eukaryota; Metazoa; Chordata; Mammalia; Primates; Cheirogaleidae.
AGCUGGUCCAAAGCUAGUUGGUGUUCACAGUCAGAUAUAGAUUGAACUCUUUGUUCUACUCCUUUCCUCCUCAUUACUUUGCUUGUCUAAUAAAAA